This 465-nucleotide ribosomal RNA is filed under the name uncultured Klebsiella sp. Its description in RNAcentral is "bacterial SSU rRNA". It matches the Rfam family "Bacterial small subunit ribosomal RNA", at positions 338 to 795 of the family's 1533-position model. Lineage: Bacteria; Pseudomonadati; Pseudomonadota; Gammaproteobacteria; Enterobacterales; Enterobacteriaceae. The record is from RNAcentral.
CCUACGGGUGGCAGCAGUGGGGAAUAUUGCACAAUGGGCGCAAGCCUGAUGCAGCCAUGCCGCGUGUGUGAAGAAGGCCUUCGGGUUGUAAAGCACUUUCAGCGGGGAGGAAGGCGGUGAGGUUAAUAACCUCAUCGAUUGACGUUACCCGCAGAAGAAGCACCGGCUAACUCCGUGCCAGCAGCCGCGGUAAUACGGAGGGUGCAAGCGUUAAUCGGAAUUACUGGGCGUAAAGCGCACGCAGGCGGUCUGUCAAGUCGGAUGUGAAAUCCCCGGGCUCAACCUGGGAACGGCAUUCGAAACUGGCAGGCUAGAGUCUUGUAGAGGGGGGUAGAAUUCCAGGUGUAGCGGUGAAAUGCGUAGAGAUCUGGAGGAAUACCGGUGGCGAAGGCGGCCCCCUGGACAAAGACUGACGCUCAGGUGCGAAAGCGUGGGGAGCAAACAGGAUUAGAUACCCGGGUAGUC